GGCGUGCUAAUCUGCGAUAAGCGCCGGUAAGGUGAUAUGAACCGUUAUAACCGGCGAUACCCGAAUGGGGAAACCCAGUGUGAUUCGUCACACUAUCAUUAACUGAAUCCAUAGGUUAAUGAGGCGAACCGGGGGAACUGAAACAUCUAAGUACCCCGAGGAAAAGAAAUCAACCGAGAUUCCCCCAGUAGCGGCGAGCGAACGGGGAGGAGCCCAGAGCCUGAAUCAGCAUGUGUGUUAGUGGAAGCGUCUGGAAAGGCGCGCGAUACAGGGUGACAGCCCCGUACACAAAAGCGCAUGUGCUGUGAGCUCGAUGAGUAGGGCGGGACACGUGGUAUCCUGUCUGAAUAUGGGGGGACCAUCCUCCAAGGCUAAAUACUCCUGACUGACCGAUAGUGAACCAGUACCGUGAGGGAAAGGCGAAAAGAACCCCGGCGAGGGGAGUGAAAAAGAACCUGAAACCGUGUACGUACAAGCAGUGGGAGCACCCUUCGGGGUGUGACUGCGUACCUUUUGUAUAAUGGGUCAGCGACUUAUAUUCUGUAGCAAGGUUAACCGUAUAGGGGAGC
This 569-nucleotide ribosomal RNA is filed under the name Salmonella enterica subsp. enterica serovar Typhimurium. Its description in RNAcentral is "partial 23S ribosomal RNA". It matches the Rfam family "Bacterial large subunit ribosomal RNA", at positions 55 to 666 of the family's 2925-position model. The record is from RNAcentral. Lineage: Bacteria; Pseudomonadati; Pseudomonadota; Gammaproteobacteria; Enterobacterales; Enterobacteriaceae.